CGCAGGCGGGCGUUGGCUGCCCAGCCGCUGCUCAUAACGGCGGUCCGCCCGGUUCGACACCGGGGCCUGCGAC
This 73-nucleotide transfer RNA is filed under the name Asanoa siamensis. Its description in RNAcentral is "tRNA-Met". Lineage: Bacteria; Bacillati; Actinomycetota; Actinomycetes; Micromonosporales; Micromonosporaceae. The record is from RNAcentral.